AUUGAACGCUGGCGGCAGGCUUAACACAUGCAAGUCGAACGAGUGGCGGACGGGUGAGUAAUGUAUGGGAACUUGGCUAAUGGAGGGGGAUAACUACGGGAAACCGUAGCUACUACCGCUUACCAUAGGUUGGGCCCACGUGGGAUUAGGUAGGUGGUGAGGUAAAGGCUCACCAGGCCGACGAUCCCUAGCUGGUCUGAGAGGAUGACCAGCCACACUGGGACUGAGACACGGCCCAGACUCCUACGGGAGGCAGCAGUGGGGAAUAUUGGGCAAUGGAGGAAACCUGACGCAGCCAUGCCGCGUGAAUGAAGAAGGCUUUCGGGUUGUAAAGUUCUUUCGGUAGCGAGGCGGUAACUACAGAAGAAGCACCGGCUAACUACGUGCCAGCAGCCGCGGUAAUUC
RNAcentral lists this ribosomal RNA (405 nucleotides) under uncultured bacterium. RNAcentral describes it as "partial 16S ribosomal RNA". It matches the Rfam family "Bacterial small subunit ribosomal RNA", at positions 30 to 526 of the family's 1533-position model. The record is from RNAcentral.